GACGAACGCUGGCGGCGUGCUUAACACAUGCAAGUCGAACGGUAAGGCCCCAGCUUGCUGGGGUACACGAGUGGCGAACGGGUGAGUAACACGUGGGUGACCUGCCCCGCACUUCGGGAUAAGCCUGGGAAACUGGUUCUAAUACCGGAUAGGACCGCACCGUGAGGGUGUGGUGGAAAGUUUUUCGGUGUGGGAUGGGCCCGCGGCCUAUCAGCUUGUUGGUGGGGUAAUGGCCUACCAAGGCGGCGACGGGUAGCCGGCCUGAGAGGGUGGACGGCCACAUUGGGACUGAGACACGGCCCAGACUCCUACGGGAGGCAGCAGUGGGGAAUAUUGCACAAUGGGCGGAAGCCUGAUGCAGCGACGCCGCGUGGGGGAUGACGGCCUUCGGGUUGUAAACUCCUUUCACCAUCGACGAAGGUUUUCUGACGGUAGAUGGAGAAGAAGCACCGGCUAACUACGUG
This 464-nucleotide ribosomal RNA is filed under the name uncultured bacterium. RNAcentral describes it as "partial 16S ribosomal RNA". It matches the Rfam family "Bacterial small subunit ribosomal RNA", at positions 28 to 507 of the family's 1533-position model. The record is from RNAcentral.